ACCUGGCUGGCUCAUUUGGUGGAGCAUGUGACUCUCGAUCUUGGGGAUGUGGGUUCAAGCCCCACGCUGGGGC
This 73-nucleotide transfer RNA is filed under the name Felis catus (domestic cat). It matches the Rfam family "tRNA". From Rfam's summary of the family: Transfer RNA (tRNA) molecules are approximately 80 nucleotides in length. Their secondary structure includes four short double-helical elements and three loops (D, anti-codon, and T loops). Further hydrogen bonds mediate the characteristic L-shaped molecular structure. tRNAs have two regions of fundamental functional importance: the anti-codon, which is responsible for specific mRNA codon recognition, and the 3' end, to which the tRNAs corresponding amino acid is attached (by aminoacyl-tRNA synthetases). tRNAs cope with the degeneracy of the genetic code in two manners: having more than one tRNA (with a specific anti-codon) for a particular amino acid; and 'wobble' base-pairing, i.e. permitting non-standard base-pairing at the 3rd anti-codon position. Lineage: Eukaryota; Metazoa; Chordata; Mammalia; Carnivora; Felidae. The record is from Rfam by way of RNAcentral.